Long non-coding RNA from Monomorium pharaonis (pharaoh ant), 4115 nucleotides. RefSeq lists it as uncharacterized. Lineage: Eukaryota; Metazoa; Arthropoda; Insecta; Hymenoptera; Formicidae. The record is from RefSeq and is a predicted model, not a curated record. The transcript has 2 exons.
GUAACUUUGAAGCAGAUGCUUUGUUUUAUCGUGUCUCUUAAAUACAAAUCUACAAAUUGCUUUAAUAUACUGUUGACAUUUAUGAUAUUAUGAAGAUAUUUUAUAACAACUAAUAUUUUUACAAUUACUAGUAACAUCUUAUUAUAAAUGACCAAGAGCAUUAGUGCUGCGAAAAUGAGUACUUGCAGCGUACUUCCUUGACGAUUACAGCAAUUCUUGGUACAAUAAUUGACAUAUAUUUAUGGUCAAUGACUACGUGUUUGCGAACCAAAAUAGGCCAAUCCAUGAUGACAUCCCCAUGCAGGCAUUCCAACUGAGGCAGAUUGUAUAGAGGUCCUCCGCGCAAUUGUACUCGCGUGCGGUAAUGCACGACGGUCUAUGGUGAUAGAAGCGCCGUCGGCGUUCAUGAUGGUGAGCGGAUUGCCUUGACGAGAAAAUCACGUGGCCGCGGGAAAUGACUUGUUAUAUAAACUAACGAUUAUCUCGGUACUUGUGCAUUGCCACGUCUAAUCCGAUGAGUCUGACACGGCCGUCUCGGCAACUCUACGACAGACGACGUGACGCGUCUAUGUUUGUGUCGCAUUUGUCACGAGUGCGCAAGGAUAACGCAACGAGAUAACGGAUAACGCCCCCGUGAGCCGAUACACGCUAAUCAUGCGUACGCUCGACUCGAUUCUAAUCGAUCGGGAAAGCUUGCAGGCGCGAUAAUCAAGGACAACUAAAAGAAUUAUUGUCGCGUUUCAAGAGAUUUAUCAUUCACGAGGUUCUGAGUGCUUCCUAGAGGAUAUGCGAAGGCGUCGAGUCGGCUCGCGGCAAUCGCGAGGAGAUUUGUGUCACGCGAGUAAAUCAAUCGGUGUGCAGCCGCGUAUCUAGGGCAGCGAAAUGUAAUCGAAUAGUCUAGCUAGACCACGAUGUGAGAAAAUCAGUGCAGAGUACUCGCGGUGCCAGCGGGUGCACGACGAGUAGAAGUAAAGCCAAGAAAGUGGGUCAACGUUGAAACCGGGCGAGUCCGAGAACCAAGUUCAGGGGCAAACUACAGCGCCAUGUCCGGAGCCACGGACUCCUUUCGUGCCUUAGGUUAAGUUCUUUCUCUCUUUCCUUCCCUCGUUGACACAUGUAUGCGCGCGUGGAUGCGUGCACGCGUGUACAGGCCGCGGUCUAUCUCUCGCUCUCUCCUAGGGAGGAGAGAACGCAAAAGAAAAAAGAGAGAGUGCAGGAGGCGGUCUAACGGACUCCGCUCUGGUCUGUCUAGUUUUAUUUUUCCGACGGACCCAAGCUUGGCCAUUCGUUCCGUUUCUUCUCUUGCCCGCCUUGGACCCUCCCUCGCACGCGUGCACGCGUGCAAGAAGGGAGAGGGAGUGAUCGUACCUGCGCUUCCCCUUAUUUUCUCUUUCUCUACGUUAGCUGAUCUUGACCUAGGUCUCACUAGCGCUAUUGCUGCCGCGACCGCCACCGUUGCUUCGAGAGUGCUUUCUCCUGAGCAAACUGGCGUUUCAUGACACAUUUUCGGUCGAACUUGGCCCAGAAAUGACCGAGUUGGAAAGUGUAAGUGAAACCCUUCGCUCUCGAAUAACCGUUCCUAGCCACGACGAUGGUUCGACGCAUCUUUAGACGACUAACGUUUUUCUUUGCUCUCAGAGGUGCGGCUACGUCUCGGAAAUAAUUUGCGGAGAUUUUCAGCAGGAGAAAGAAGCAAGAUUCUAAGGGAAAGGGUCCUCUAAUUUUAUUAUAAAAUAUCUAACAAGAAACUUUCUUUCUCUCUCUCUCUCUCUCUACUAAAAUAUGUAAAAAUAUGAAAUUUUUCAUUAGUUCCAUCACGUAUCUUGACUCAGUCGCUUGAUAUUUUCCAAGACUCUUAAUCUUUCAUAGAAAUCUGUGCGAAGUACAUAUACAAAUUGAUACGAAUUAUUGAUUGAAUUUGUUCUUGCUCAUACGAUCUCUCCCAUACCUUACCGUUGCAACCGUACGAUUCUAUUUCCUGAAUGUGUCGAUCGUAACGGCUGUCGUCGCGACACAACACGGCUGCGUUGCGAUUACGAUAGUUCUCGGCUUGACUUUCCGUUCCUCGAAUUCUCUUUCACUCCUUCAUAACGACGCGCAAAAAAAAUCGAGCGAGUAAAGUGACCUCGACGAAAUCGUCACGAAGGCCGAUCGGCGCGCGCGCGAGCGCGCAUAUUAUGCUCGCUGUACUCCAUCAGCCGGAAGAUAUAUUAUAUCGAUUAACGAUAAAGCGAGCCUAUCUACCUAGUGAACGCACACAGGCGUAGACAGGUAGGCUGAUGGUGGGAAGGUGGUCGGCCUCAAGUAGGCAGAAUAUAGGUAGCCAGCGGGUCACUCGGGCCGUCUGUUUUACGUCUUCGUGCACAUGCUGUUUCGCGCGUAUACAGCGGCGCGUCCGCGCAUUUCAAUCCACUUAUCGCACCGCAUGCGAACCGGCUAAAUCGCGUGCUGCUACACACGCUUCAUAGUGUUAUCUUCGUUUCGAGCGCGUGCUUUCGAACGCGAGAAGCUGUAGGAAGCGCGUGGACACACGCGAAUGAAUGGAAGCGCAAGUGAUUCUUACGCUGUUAAACUCAGUAUCUCACGUAGUCAAUGCUGUGCGGACGUGUAUAUCUAUGCUCUCGCGUUGCCGGUAAAUUGUCCCUGAGGAUAUGCGAUCGGUUUGCCAGGGCGUGGUUUCCUAUGCAGUUUUUGCCCACCUAGAAUGCACUAGGCGGCCUUCGCUGAGAUCGGGAUAUCCCGCCGCUCGUUUCUCCCUCUGCCAUUCCGGAAUCAACCAGCAAUGACACCACUGCCGUCGAAUAAUUUUAUCGUCGUUUUCAUCUCCGAUGAUGAGGACAAUGGAGUCUGCUCGAAAAUGGAAGAAUAAGAAAUUUUACACUGCCAUGGAAAUUUGCCACCUAGUCGUUCCAUCUCUUCACCUCGGUCUCUCGCGGAGACACGCGUGACUCUCGCGCGAAAAAUACGGACACCCGGGAAAAAUUGUGUACGUUUCUUUUGAUAUUCGCGACAUCACCAACGUCUCGCAAUACACCGUAUGGUACAUUGCCGAUGUAACAAUCACAAGAUAUUUUUUUUUUUAGUUAUAUUGCGUAUUAAGACACAGUGAUCAUGCAGAAAUGCAGUGAAAUGGUUAUCACGAGAAAAACGAUACAUUAGCUUUGAUUAUCGCUGAAAAAUUUUUCGAUAUUAUUCGACACUGUUUUAGCCUUAGUAUUACUACACAUCUAAAGAAAGAAAGAUUCUUUAGAUUUAAUAAAAACUAUUAAAAACGAAGAAAUAUAUGCUUUGAAAUAGACAACAAAAACUGUUUAUUUGAAGAAAUAUACGAUUAUUUAAUUAUUUAUUAAUAAUACUUUGAUAUAAUGAAAUAAUACUUUUUUUAAUAAAGAUAAUGUUUCGUAACAUUAUGUGUUGUUUAAAUAAAAUAAAUUUAAACAAAUCAAGAAGAAAUAUUAAAAGAAAUAAUUCUCUCUGUGCACUGGUAGAAAAGGUUACUUGAUUCGUUUAAUGUUAUUCGAAAUUUGAAAUAUAUUAUUAGUAUUAUUUAAAUAACUUAUUUACAUUGAACAAGUAAAUAUUACUUGCUUGUAGUAAAUAUUAUUGGUUUAAUAUAAAACAGAGUAAUUUGAAUAGUACUAAUGAAAUAUUUACUUGAAUCAAGUUAUUUUUUUUAUCAGUCUAAUGCUGCUGUUAGUCGCUACUUGUUGUACUAUCUGCUACUGAUCGAGAUAUUUAUGCGCGCAAUAACAUCGCGUUGUGUGUUACCGUUAUCGCUACUUUAUCAACAUUGUCACGACUAAUAUGAUCACCGUUACUAUACCUUUUUUCUGUUGCUUCAAAUGAUAUCGAUGAUAUCGUCGAACGCCACACACAUAUAAAUUAUUGCAGAAAUAGUAAACAGAGUGGAUUGUUUAGGAAAAUCCCGUUUCCUCUCUUGGCGUGGCUCUUUAAUAUUCACGUUAUAUAAACGUUCUAUCGAGAAUUGUGCAGUUAAUGCAGAUAAAUUUUAAUGAGGCAUUAAAUCACUUUGUUACCGUAAAUAGGAUCAAUCUUGAUUAUUUGUAGGGAGUUUAUAUUCAGUGAUGAUUUUAAUAUUCUACGCUUAAAAAAUA